GUCAAGUCAUCACGGCCCUUACGCCUGGGGCGACACACGUGCUACAAUGGCCGGUACAAAGGGUUGCGAGGCCGCGAGGCGGAGCCAAUCCCAAAAAGCCGGUCUCAGUUCGGAUCGGAGUCUGCAACUCGACUCCGUGAAGUCGGAAUCGCUAGUAAUCGCGGAUCAGCCAUGCCGCGGUGAAUACGUUCCCGGGCCUU
This 200-nucleotide ribosomal RNA is filed under the name uncultured organism. RNAcentral's name for it is "partial small subunit ribosomal RNA". It matches the Rfam family "Bacterial small subunit ribosomal RNA", at positions 1184 to 1382 of the family's 1533-position model. The record is from RNAcentral.